This 96-nucleotide small RNA is filed under the name Salmonella enterica. Its description in RNAcentral is "partial RtT sRNA". It matches the Rfam family "RtT RNA", at positions 33 to 130 of the family's 130-position model. Rfam says of the family: This family represents a bacterial cis-regulatory element known as RtT RNA. The exact function of RtT is unknown although it is thought that it may be involved in changing the cellular response in relation to amino acid starvation. RNAcentral also lists the same sequence under 2 other names. The record is from RNAcentral. Lineage: Bacteria; Pseudomonadati; Pseudomonadota; Gammaproteobacteria; Enterobacterales; Enterobacteriaceae.
UGCCGCAGGUUCGGGUCGAACGCAGUGAGACAACGGAGCCGUUUACGGCGACGGCCCGAAGGGCGAGCGAAGCGAGUCAUCCUGCACGACCCACCA